RNAcentral lists this long non-coding RNA (430 nucleotides) under Homo sapiens (human). Its description in RNAcentral is "HSALNT0145887". Lineage: Eukaryota; Metazoa; Chordata; Mammalia; Primates; Hominidae. The record is from RNAcentral.
UCAGAGUCUGAUGGAUCUGGGUGACUGGGCAAGUUCUUUAGCUUGUCAAACCUUCAUUUCUCUAAUUUAUAACAUAAGGACAGUACCUUCUUCCUGUCAAGGUUGAGGCAAGCAUUAGUGAGAAACGUCUCAAGGCCUGGUUCACAGAACCCUGGGUGGCAGGUACUAUUGGCACCAUUUUCCAGAUAAAGAAAAUGAAGUUCUAAGCAGUCAAAUGACAUGUCAAGAUCACCCAACUGAGACUACUGCCCUUCAUUGAUUGAUGUCCGGUGCCUGGAAAGCCAUGGUUUUAUGCAGUUUGUGGAUUUUUUAUUUUUUUUCUUUAUUUGAAAUGGGAAGUAAAGGAUGACAGAGGGCACAGAAGCCACCAGCAGAUUCUUUGGAAGGAAGUAACAGGAGUGGAACUUCAUUUUCCCAUGGAUUGUAAAGG